This 471-nucleotide ribosomal RNA is filed under the name uncultured bacterium. Its description in RNAcentral is "partial 16S ribosomal RNA". It matches the Rfam family "Bacterial small subunit ribosomal RNA", at positions 28 to 507 of the family's 1533-position model. The record is from RNAcentral.
GACGAACGCUGGCGGCGUGCUUAACACAUGCAAGUCGAACGGAAAGGCCCUGCUUGCAGGGUGCUCGAGUGGCGAACGGGUGAGUAACACGUGGGUGAUCUGCCCCUUACUUUGGGAUAAGCCUGGGAAACUGGGUCUAAUACUGGAUAGGACCAUGCUGUAGGUGGUGUGGUGGAAAGAUUUUUUCGGUAAGGGAUGAGCUCGCGGCCUAUCAGCUUGUUGGUGGGGUAAUGGCCUACCAAGGCGUCGACGGGUAGCCGGCCUGAGAGGGUGGACGGCCACAUUGGGACUGAGAUACGGCCCAGACUCCUACGGGAGGCAGCAGUGGGGAAUAUUGCACAAUGGGCGCAAGCCUGAUGCAGCGACGCCGCGUGGGGGAUGACGGCCUUCGGGUUGUAAACUCCUUUCAGCCAUGACGAAGCCUCUUUUGGGGUGACGGUAGUGGUAGAAGAAGUACCGGCUAACUACGUG